This 798-nucleotide long non-coding RNA is filed under the name Phoenix dactylifera (date palm). RNAcentral's name for it is "long non-coding RNA (PDAC_LNC003614)". Lineage: Eukaryota; Viridiplantae; Streptophyta; Magnoliopsida; Arecales; Arecaceae. The record is from RNAcentral.
AUUAGACUUCAUGUGUUUUAGCAACAACUCAAGUUUUAUAAAAUUUAAGUUGUGGAGCUCGGUCGCAAGAUAUAACAAAUAAGGCCAUGCUCAUUGAGAAAGAUGGUUUAUUUUAGACUCAUAAAUUUGAUUGGGCCAUGUACCAUAACCAUCUAGCCUCUUCCCAUAUAUUGAGGGUCGGUUUUAUGGAUCCUCACUAGCCAAGGUUUUUCUAUUUAGGGCCACCUAUGAUGUUGUUCCAAGCUUAUCCUUCUUCACAAUCUCCACCAUAUCAUCUUAUAUUUUUUCCUCCUUUUUUCAUCACUUUCAAUGUAAUCAAAGUAACAUUCUUUAUGAGAGUCUUCUCCAAUUUCCAUGGUACAUUUUUAUACCAUCCCAAUCAAUUUUUUUAUUAUUUUAUGUUAUGCAACUCCUAAGCUCCUCUUAUAUACUUAUUUCUUAUUUUAUCAUCUGAUAUAUUUAUUUCUUAUUUAUCUGUUCUAGUUUAACGAAAUAUUCAUUUUAAUUUAUUCAGUUCUACUACUCUCAACUUGUUUUCAUAUACUUUCUUUAUUACCAAGCACUCUGAAUGAUAUAAGAUAGUAGGUCUUGCUAUUGUUCUAUUCCUUUAAAUUUCCACGGUAUGCAUCUCUCAUAUAGUAUUUCAGAAGUAUUUUUCUACUUCAUUCAACCAAUCCUAAUUCUAUUACAUGUAUCUUCAUCUAUAUCUCCAUUGUAUAAUAGGUUCUGUGUAACAAAAAUAAUCACAUUUUGCCAUCUCUUGGUCAUCAAUAUUAAUUAUAUAACAUCUUCUUUUCC